RNAcentral lists this ribosomal RNA (502 nucleotides) under uncultured bacterium. RNAcentral describes it as "partial 16S ribosomal RNA". It matches the Rfam family "Bacterial small subunit ribosomal RNA", at positions 30 to 523 of the family's 1533-position model. The record is from RNAcentral.
AUUGAACGCUGGCGGCAUGCCUAACACAUGCAAGUCGAACGGUAGCAGGACUGUCUUGCCAGUUGCUGACGAGUGGCGGACGGGUGAGUAAUGCGUAGGGAUCUGCCUUUGAGAGUGGGCCCACUAGGGGAAACUUUAGCUAAUACCGCACAGAGCCUACGGGUGAAAGCAGGGGACCUUCGGGCCUUGCGCUGAAAGAUGAACCUACGUCGGAUUAGCUAGUUAGUAGGGUAAAGGCCUACCAAGGCGACGAUCCGUAACUGGUCUGAGAGGAUGACCAGUCACACUGGGACUGAGACACGGCCCAGACUCCUACGGGAGGCAGCAGUGGGGAAUAUUGGACAAUGGGGGCAACCCUGAUCCAGCAAUGCCGCGUGUGAAGAAGGCCUGCGGGUUGUAAAGCACUUUGAUUGGGGAGGAAGUAUUUUAUUUUAAUAAAGUAGAGUAUUGACGUUACCCAAAGAACAAGCACCGGCUAACUCUGUGCCAGCCGCCGCCGUAA